This 375-nucleotide ribosomal RNA is filed under the name uncultured bacterium. RNAcentral describes it as "bacterial SSU rRNA". It matches the Rfam family "Bacterial small subunit ribosomal RNA", at positions 523 to 898 of the family's 1533-position model. The record is from RNAcentral.
AUACGUAGGGAGCAAGCGUUGUCCGGAAUUACUGGGCGUAAAGGGUGCGUAGGUGGCUUGACAAGUCAGAUGUGAAAGACCGGGGCUUAACCCCGGGGUUGCAUUUGAAACUGUUGAGCUUGAGUGCAGGAGAGGGAAGUGGAAUUCCUAGUGUAGCGGUGAAAUGCGUAGAUAUUAGGAGGAACACCGGUGGCGAAGGCGGCUUUCUGGACUGCAACUGACACUGAGGCACGAAAGCGUGGGGAGCAAACAGGAUUAGAUACCCUGGUAGUCCACGCCGUAAACGAUGGAUACUAGGUGUGGGGCCCGAUAGGGUUCCGUGCCGAAGCAAACGCAUUAAGUAUCCCGCCUGGGGAGUACGAUCGCAAGGUUGAA